This 235-nucleotide ribosomal RNA is filed under the name uncultured bacterium. Its description in RNAcentral is "partial 16S ribosomal RNA". It matches the Rfam family "Bacterial small subunit ribosomal RNA", at positions 1251 to 1500 of the family's 1533-position model. The record is from RNAcentral.
GAAGCAGUGAUGUGAAGCAAAUCGCACCAAAGCCGGUCCCAGUUCGGAUAAGAGGCUGAAACUCGCCUCUUUGAAGUCGGAAUCGCUAGUAAUCGCAGAUCAGCAUGUUGCGGUGAAUACGUUCCCGGGUCUUGUACACACCGCCCGUCAAACCAUGAGAGUCACCAACACCCGAAGUCCGCUUUGGCGGCCUAAGGUGGGGGAGAUGAUUGGGGUUAAGUCGUAACAAGGUAAC